Capra hircus (goat) is the source of this 284-nucleotide long non-coding RNA. RefSeq lists it as uncharacterized. The record is from RefSeq and is a predicted model, not a curated record. The transcript is spliced from 3 exons. Lineage: Eukaryota; Metazoa; Chordata; Mammalia; Artiodactyla; Bovidae.
CAAGACAGAGGUCCAGUCUGCGUAGACACACAUUUCCUGUAACCCUGUGACUAGCUGUCAGGUUCAAGCUUUAUGCAAGAUUGCGGCUGUGUCCUUGUCAUACCUUUGGUGACUUAGAAAGACUGCAAACACUGGAACUAAAUGCCUAUUGUUUUCUUCUGUUCUUGGUGAUUUGGUAAUGACCUCAAAGACAUCUUCUGGAAGCCACAGAUGGCAGACCCUCUGGAGAGCCACAAAAGAGCCUAGAUCAUCUUUCCAGCAAGCAUUCUGCGGCAUGUUCCCUU